UCUUGUUCAGAAUUCUCAGGCACGAGGUGAAUGCUUUGGUAGGAUUACUAUUGAGGCGAUGGCGUUUCAGCUGCCUGUGUUGGGAACUGCUGCUGGUGGCACCCAAGAAAUUGUAACAAAUGGAACAACUGGUCUUCUACAUCCUGUGGGGAAAGAAGGGAUAAUGCCUCUUGCAAAAAACAUUGUUAGAUUAGCCACUCACGUUGAGAGGAGGCUUACAAUGGGUAAAAAAGGGUAUGAGAAGGUUAAAGAGACUUUUCUGGAGCAUCACAUGGAAGAAAGAAUUGCAGGAGUUCUAAAGGACGUGUUGCAAAAAGCAAUGGAACAUCAAAGGACAUGAUAAUUUAUUGUGAUUGGCGUUCUCAGCUGGAGCUGCAUUUUGUAGUGUGAUGUGGAAAUUGCAAGCUAUGAGUAACAACAGGAUGGAGAACCGAACAGUUCAAUGUCCUCUUGCUUAUAUAUUUUCCAAGUGUAAAAAAGAAACGACUUUUUCAUCCUUGAUGUUGUCAAUCUGGUGUCUGAAGG
RNAcentral lists this unclassified non-coding RNA (525 nucleotides) under Hevea brasiliensis (rubber tree). Lineage: Eukaryota; Viridiplantae; Streptophyta; Magnoliopsida; Malpighiales; Euphorbiaceae. The record is from RNAcentral.